Molecule: long non-coding RNA, 979 nt
Organism: Oreochromis aureus
Lineage: Eukaryota; Metazoa; Chordata; Actinopteri; Cichliformes; Cichlidae
Source: Ensembl
CAAUUUAUGUGUUUCAUUACCCGCAGACUCAGUUUACACCUUAGUAUGGCUGGUUAAUCAAACAAAUCUUUUAUUGUUGCAUCUGUUUACUUGUGGCAUGGGGAAGGUUAAUGAUUUGGCGAUUUCCGCGAAGCUGUGGAGUAGCAGAAAACCCACUCUAAACAUCAAAAUCUUGUUAUUGAACAUGGAAUAUGAUGAAUGUGAGCUUUGCUGAAAUAUAGGAAGUUACCUGCCACAGACAGAUCCAAAGAGACUAGAGACUUUCUGAAAGGACAAUGAAUAACUCCAAGCUUUUGUUAUGAGGAGUACAUUUCCAUAUCUCUGAUUAAUGUUGUUCUGGCAUAAGAAAAGAAAAUACAACACACUUGUCAAGCGUGUGUCGGUAGCAUCCAGUCACAGUGUGUGUUAGACAGAUUGUUCCAAACCACGGCUCUAAAUAUGCGGCUCAAUCCUCUGUUGUUGUUAGCAUCCAAGGCUAACACGCGGCAUCACAGCAGCCAAUGACAGACGUAGAGGAGGGGCAUACCACCAGAGAGCAUUGUGGGUACUCCAAAAGUAAUGAUUUAUUUCAUUUCAGAGCUCGCAGACGAGUAUACUUCAUUAUUCGGUGUAUUAACAUUAUUUCACAACUACGAUACGUGACACAGUAAACAUAAGCAGCACACACUGCUGUUAGCACCGUGACCGAGAUGGACAGGGUCGUCAUAGUAGUAGCUGGGUCGGCGCAUUUGUUCCUUAAGACUAUACUUUCAGGGAUCAUUUCUAUAGUUUUCAACUUGAGAAAUGUGUUUCUAAAGUGUGUGGUCUCGCUAACCACGAUGAUGAGUUGGUGAUACUUCUUCUUGAGCGCGAAGCGGGUGGAGAGACUUGAUUCAUUUCAUAUGCUCUUUACUUUUGAUGACCGUUCACUGUUUUCUCGAAAACAGCGAUGGGAGAAGUAUGAUCAGAGUGGUUACGAAGUACUGUAAAAGAUUAAUUU